UGGGGAACAUUGCACAAUGGGCGCAAGCCUGAUGCAGCGACGCCGCGUGGGGGAUGACGGCCUUCGGGUUGUAAACUCCUUUCGCUAGGGACGAAGCUUUUUGUGACGGUACCUAGAUAAGAAGCACCGGCUAACUACGUGCCAGCAGCCGCGGUAAUACGUAGGGUGCGAGCGUUGUCCGGAAUUACUGGGCGUAAAGGGCUCGUAGGUGGUUUGUCGCGUCGUCUGUGAAAUUCCGGGGCUUAACUCCGGGCGUGCAGGCGAUACGGGCAUAACUUGAGUACUGUAGGGGUAACUGGAAUUCCUGGUGUAGCGGUGAAAUGCGCAGAUAUCAGGAGGAACACCGAUGGCGAAGGCAGGUUACUGGGCAGUUACUGACGCUGAGGAGCGAAAGCAUGGGUAGCGAACAGG
RNAcentral lists this ribosomal RNA (411 nucleotides) under Actinomycetes bacterium. Its description in RNAcentral is "Actinobacteria bacterium partial 16S ribosomal RNA". It matches the Rfam family "Bacterial small subunit ribosomal RNA", at positions 355 to 776 of the family's 1533-position model. The record is from RNAcentral. Lineage: Bacteria; Bacillati; Actinomycetota; Actinomycetes.